RNAcentral lists this ribosomal RNA (489 nucleotides) under uncultured bacterium. RNAcentral describes it as "partial 16S ribosomal RNA". It matches the Rfam family "Bacterial small subunit ribosomal RNA", at positions 28 to 507 of the family's 1533-position model. The record is from RNAcentral.
GAUGAACGCUAGCGGCAGGCUUAAUACAUGCGAGUCGAGGGGCAGCAGGACUGUAGCCAUCCAGUUGCUGGCGACCGGCAAACGGGUGCGGAACACGUACGCAACCUACCCAAAACUGGGGGAUAGCCCGGGGAAACCCGGAUUAAUACCUCGUAACCUUUUUAAGUGGCAUCACUUGAUAAGUAUAGCUCCGGCGGUUUUGGAUGGGCGUGCGCCUGAUUAGGUAGUUGGUGCGGGUAACGGCCCACCAAGCCUGCGAUCAGUAACUGGUGUGAGAGCACGACCAGUCACACGGGCACUGGGACACGGGCCCGACUCCUACGGGAGGCAGCAGUAAGGAAUAUUGGUCAAUGGACGCAAGUCUGAACCAGCCAUGCCGCGUGAAGGAUGAAGGUCCUCUGGAUUGUAAACUUCUUUUAUGGGGGACGAAACCCGGAUAUUCUUAUCCGAUUGACGGUACCUCAGGAAUAAGCACCGGCUAACUCCGUG